RNAcentral lists this ribosomal RNA (376 nucleotides) under uncultured bacterium. Its description in RNAcentral is "bacterial SSU rRNA". It matches the Rfam family "Bacterial small subunit ribosomal RNA", at positions 29 to 395 of the family's 1533-position model. The record is from RNAcentral.
AGUGAACGCUGGCGGCGUGCUUAACACAUGCAAGUCGAACGAGGUGCUUGAGUAGCAAUACGAGAGUAUCCUAGUGGCGAACGGGUGAGUAACGCGUUGGUGACCUACCCCAAAGUGUGGGAUAACAGUUCGAAAGGAUUGCUAAUACCGCAUGUGGUCUUCGGAUUUAGAAACUGAUGACUAAAGGAGCAAUUCGCUUUGGGAGGGACCUGCGUCCCAUCAGCUAGUUGGUGAGGUAAUGGCUCACCAAGGCUACGACGGGUAGGGGACCUGAGAGGGUGACCCCCCCACAAUGGAACUGAAACACGGUCCAUACACCUAACGGGUGGCAGCAGUAGGGAAUAUUGCACAAUGGGCGAAAGCCUGAUGCAGCAAC